AAAAAUAAAAAUUUAAAAAUAAAAAUUGCAUUUUGACCCCUAAACUUUUCCUAAAUUUCAUUUUGACCCUUAAACUUUCUUUAAAUUUCACUUAGACCCCUAAACUUUCAUUAAAUUUCAUUUUAAUCCUAAAUUUUCUAAAAAUUACAUUUAGCCCCAGAAGUUUUGCUGCAUUUGUGAUUUGAUCCUUCAGACAGGUUACGUGAUUUGGGGCACCCACUUCCCAGAUUUUCAGGCCACAAACAUGGGUGGCUGCUCCUUCUUCACCUACCACCUGCAAAAAGGAAACAAAUAUCAACUAUAAAAUGGGUUUAAAACCCCAAAAUCAAACCCACACCCACGAAAAAAAUAAAAAAAAACUUGCAAAAAGAGAGAUUUUUUCGAAGGAAAAAAGAAGAAAAGAGAAAGAGGAGAAGAAAAGAAAGAGUACCGGCGUCGGAGGAGGUAGCGGCGGCGCAAGCGGUGGUGGAGGCUAGACUUUGAAGAAGAAGAAGGAAGAAGAAGGAAGAAGAAAAGAGGAAGAAGAAAGAAAGAAAAAAGAAAAAGAAAAGAAAUAAUAAAAAAUAUUAUAACAGUCGGGUCAACCCGACCUGACCCACCUACGACCCGAUCCGACCCAGCAGCCCAAGAAAAAACAACAAAAAAAAAAGAAACAAGCCCAAAAAAAAAACCAAAGCAAAAAAAAAGCAGCAAAAAAGAAGAAGAAAGAAGCAGAAAAAAGAAGAAGAAAGAAGCAGCCCAAAUGCAGGCCCAGCGCAGCAGCAGGCCCAGCAGGCCCAAAGGCCCAGCGCAGUAGCAGACCACCCACACCAGCAGGCCAGGCCCAAGCCAGCAGCCCAACCGGCCAGCCCAGCAAA
Molecule: long non-coding RNA, 857 nt
Filed under: Gossypium barbadense (sea-island cotton)
Lineage: Eukaryota; Viridiplantae; Streptophyta; Magnoliopsida; Malvales; Malvaceae
Description: long non-coding RNA (GBAR_LNC011857)
Source: RNAcentral